This 225-nucleotide long non-coding RNA is filed under the name Lathyrus oleraceus (garden pea). RNAcentral's name for it is "Pisum sativum (pea) long non-coding RNA (PSAT_LNC011095)". Lineage: Eukaryota; Viridiplantae; Streptophyta; Magnoliopsida; Fabales; Fabaceae. The record is from RNAcentral.
ACCAUCAACAGAUACACGGCAACAGCUGCAUCAUGAGUAUCUGAAUGCUAUGAUUAUGCAUGCAUGCAUGAUACCUAAGAAUGUAUGAUGAAUGCUGACAAACAGACGUGCUCAACACACAGGUCUGGGAAUCAACCAUCCGGUACCACUCUUCCGGAGGGAAAACCAAAGUCACCAGAGAGACGAGAAAAUCCACUGGAGACUGGGAUAUCAGGGAGCAACACC